Molecule: long non-coding RNA, 2809 nt
Organism: Coturnix japonica (Japanese quail)
Lineage: Eukaryota; Metazoa; Chordata; Aves; Galliformes; Phasianidae
Source: RefSeq, a predicted model, not a curated record
CCGGGAAAUGGAGUCCGCGAUGGCGGGGCUGCUCGCUGGGCUCCAGAGCUGAGGUGCAAGUCCUAUAAACAGGGUCAGGCCUUUGCAGCCUGCAGGAAGGCUGGAAUAGCCUUGUAAUGAGAAGCUGACAUCCUAGCUGCAGCUCUGCUGCUCUACAGUGAGGGCCCGGUGAUGGAUGAAAGGGGAGGCACCUUGUCUGCAGAAGAAGGGCUGUAUCUUAUGUUUCCGACUGCUGUGACAUCAGUGCUUCCAUCUUCCAACAGUCUAGUUGAUGUCUUCUGGCACAAAGAAUAACAGAAAAAGAAAAAAAGCUAACCAGAAAUGAACAAUAAGGACUGAAAGAUUGUUUCAUUCUUCUUUGCACUUUGCUGAGCUGAGAUUCUAGCAGACAUAUGAGAAAUACUGUUCAAAAUGCUUGCUGUAAACUCGUGUCCCAUUCAUCUCUGUAAACUGCAGCUUGCAACAGAGCUCAAGCACAGAGUACUGCACAGCUACACAGGGUGCUGCUAAAAUCUGGCAGCCCUGUCUUCUCUGACAGAUGCAGACUGGUGAUGAACUGAAAGGCUGCUCCAAGAUAACACUCAAGUUUGUAAUAAUGGAAAAAAAAAAAAAAGUGAUUAAGUAUUAAGCUUUCUCCUAUUAAUUCUUUUUAGAUUUCUCUUACACUUUUUACAUGAGAGAGAAUUUGAAUGACUACUGAUGUUGUAAGCUGCUAUCUUUCUAGUUAUUUAAGGUGCAAAUAGCUUAGUAGGUUUCUUAUUGACUGUGCUAGCUUUCCAGAUGCUAAAGCUCAUUCCAGCAAGUUAGCAGUCACUUCCUAAAGAGCAGAAUGAUAGUUUAGAAAAGCAGCCAGAGUUCGAUUUCCCAGAGUCUGACACAGUGCAGGUCCAUCUUUGUAAUCCGCUGGGACUCUGCUCGUCUGACCCAGAGGGCAGAGCAUCAUCUACCCAUCUUCAAGAGCAAGGCGAUGACAUCAAAGCAGAGCUCUGCUUCCUUAAUGGCUUCUUUGAAGCUGCAGCAGCAGAGAAGGCAAAAUACAGCAGCUCCCUCUCUCCUUCUGAAGAAAAGAGCACAGCACGGCUCUCCAGAAAUGACAUACAUAAAGGCAGAGAAAUUGAACAUAAUUUUAUGGAAUAUGCUGCCUUUGGGGAGUUCCUAUUUCUGCUGAGUGACCUUAUUUGUCCCUGAAGUUUUAAUUGUAAAGCUGCGCUCUGCUUUUGAUGGUGCUUUCUUUCAGUACAGGUGGGGAAAUCUUGUGCUGCCUCCUCUACCUUUCCAGUCCUUGUAUUGUAACUUGUACAAGCAAAAAUUGAUGCCUCCCUCAGUACCUCUGUGAUUUCCAUGUAAAGGAAUAUACCAUGGGAAAAACAACUGAGAAAACUGAGUAAAGACUGGAUGAGGCCCCCCUGUUCAUUAUGAAGCUCAUUUAGGCUUUAUUCAUACUGUUUCAGUGAUCUCUUUCUGCAAAAAACAGCAAGUUUGCUAGUAUAUGUGACUGCCAAAAUGGACACUGGCUGAAGAUCACAAAAUGUUGGUGAAACGUAUUACUGAAUUCUUAUCUUAUUUAUGCAAGUUUAUUGUCUGAUUUACAUCAGUGCAAUUGAGUUGAAAAAAAAACCCAGUGAAGACACACGAUCAAUCUAUCAGAAUACUUCAUUUUUAAAUUCAGACAGCUGGCAGCAAGCUACUUACUAACUCACUUCCUUCAGCUACUUACUAACAAAUCUCCAAAUGGGAAUUAUUGUUGAAAUGAAUAUUUGAAUAGUUUUGUAUAAUAUAUUGAGAAAUUACCACUGUUUGCAACAUAUUUCAAAGCAGAAGGAGAAUAAAUUAAUUUUAUGUUAUAUUCCUUAUGUAAAAGCCCUUGGCCCUAAUAAGCAUUUCAUACUGGUCUUUUUUUUCAUGACAAGACUUACCUAAAGUAGAAAUAAUAUAAGGAACUUAAGGGAAUGUUCUACUAAGUGCUUUGCCUUAAGAAAUAAGUACUAAGCCAUCAAAAUAAAGGACCUCUGUUACUUAGUGUAGGUCUGCUCUAGUUUAUAUUCAAAGGUAAAUCAGCUGCUGAUAUUCCUCUCACCAAAUCAUAAUGUUCUGUGUAUUUUUAGUAUCAUCUUUACUCAUUUAUAGCGUUUUAUUAUCCCACAGUAAAAUGGUUAGAACUUAUUUUCAGAACUGAAGAAAACGUUCACUUUUCUCCCCAGUUGUGUUUCACCCUGGUAUAGUCUACUGAUUCAAUGCAGAAAUGCACUGCUUGUUCAAAAUAGCCUCUCGAGUUCUGUUUAUACCUGCAGACUUUAGUCUGGUUGAGCUACCAUUUGCCUGGGGUGCAAGUUAUAUGAAGGUCUGGGCAACAGCUCCUAGCUUGAUCCACAACCAGCCUUGUAAAGCCAUCACUUCAAUUAACAGCCGAGGAACUACCUGCCCAAUGGCAUCACAAGCACUUAAAGAUUACUUUGAAUACUGUGAUAUUUGUAUGCCAGUAAAACAUAAUAUUUCUGUGCUUUUCAUAGCUUCAUACAUGAGGAUACUGAUGCACUGGCAUACUGCAUUUCUAAGUGGAGCUCCUAAUGGCAGAAUAGAUGUAGCACAUAUUCUUUUGUGCAUUUAGUGCCCCAGCUUUACCUUCACUGAUGAAGGCUGAAUGUGAAAUAAACCCACUAACUAUUUGGUAAUGUUACAUUUUUGUUUUUCUUUGAAUACACCUAAUUGUGCACUGCAAACCAAACCUACUUGUAAUUUUCUUGGGCUUUUGUAAUUUGUUAUUGACUUUUAUAGAUUAUUCAAUAAACUCAAAUUGCUUUUUGUCUUA